RNAcentral lists this ribosomal RNA (330 nucleotides) under uncultured eukaryote. Its description in RNAcentral is "partial 18S ribosomal RNA". It matches the Rfam family "Eukaryotic small subunit ribosomal RNA", at positions 1470 to 1796 of the family's 1831-position model. The record is from RNAcentral.
CCCUUAGAUGUUCUGGGCCGCACGCGCGCUACACCGAUGCAUUCAACGAGUCUAAAACCUGGUCUGAUAGGGCUGGGUAAUCUUUUGAAUGUGCAUCGUGAUUGGGAUAGAUGAUUGCAAUUCUUCAUCUUCAACGAGGAAUGCCUAGUAAACGCAAGUCAUCAGCUUGCAUUGAUUACGUCCCUGCCCUUUGUACACACCGCCCGUCGCUCCUACCGAUUGAAUGUUCCGAUGAAUACCAUGGACUGAGAGUAUGAAUGGGUUCGCCUAUUUCUGCUUCUCGGGAAGUGGAGUAAAUCUUAACAUUUAGAGGAAGGAGAAGUCGUAACA